UGGCGAACGGGUGAGUAAUACGUGAGUAACCUACCUUUAACUCUGGGAUAAGCCUGGGAAACUGGGUCUAAUACCGGAUACGACCAAUCUCCGCAUGGAGUGUUGGUGGAAAGCGUUAUGUAGUGGUUAUAGAUGGGCUCACGGCCUAUCAGCUUGUUGGUGAGGUAACGGCUCACCAAGGCGACGACGGGUAGCCGGCCUGAGAGGGUGACCGGCCACACUGGGACUGAGACACGGUCCAG
Molecule: ribosomal RNA, 242 nt
Filed under: uncultured Actinomycetales bacterium
Lineage: Bacteria; Bacillati; Actinomycetota; Actinomycetes; Actinomycetales
Description: partial 16S ribosomal RNA
Rfam family: Bacterial small subunit ribosomal RNA
Source: RNAcentral